UUUUACUGUAAUUUAUUCAAAAAAAUUUUAAAAUAUAUACAUGAAAUCGCCUAUGCAUUCCAACACCGACUUUCAGAAGUGGUUUAAGGUCAUGAAAUCUGAGAUGGAGUCCAUGGUGUCAAUAGUGUAUGGACACUAAUUAAUCCGCCCAAAGGGAUAAAACCCAUAAGGUGUAAGUGGAUUUUCAAAAGAAAAAGGGGA
This 201-nucleotide long non-coding RNA is filed under the name Elaeis guineensis (African oil palm). Its description in RNAcentral is "long non-coding RNA (EGUI_LNC054494)". Lineage: Eukaryota; Viridiplantae; Streptophyta; Magnoliopsida; Arecales; Arecaceae. The record is from RNAcentral.